UUCAUCUCCAUAUAUUCAAUUCAAUGUUCUAAAUAAAAUGUGUUCCUGAAUUGUUGUAUGAGCAUGUAAUGUUGAUUUGAAUCUGAGUUAUGGUUUUAAUGCUCAUAAUAUUGUUUUACAAUUUAACAUCUUAGCCUUGGUAAAAUUCUCUGCAAUAGUUUUUUUGUUGAAUAUGGUUGAGUUUUCAAGGGAGAGAUACCAGGCUCCGAAAUUCCUCGACGGUUACAGUUUUCCUUAUAUUUCUGCCUCUGUUCCAAUCUGUGUGCACAACCUUAUGCAUUGGUAUGAGAGACUUCGAUCCUUUUGAUCCCUAAUAUUGUCGAUGCUCUGUUAGAAUCGAUGAAGGAAAAGCUUGAAGUCCGGACUGAUAUGCACCAAGAAGUUCCAGGUGUUUAUGGCUCAUAUAGGGAUUUUGAGGUGUAUUUGUUGGGGCAAAUGAAAUGUUGAUAAAAUGUUGGUAUAAAGAAAUGAAGAAAUCAAGCCCAAAAUGAAAGGCCCAAUCCAAUUCUUGACAAUGCCAUGUCAUCAAUCCAUGUGCUUCUUUCUCCACCAUUGGAUUUGUAACUAUAGGAAAAGAUGACAAUUUUGAGCAUGAAUCCAUGUGCUUUUUUUUUUUAGAUCAAUAGGAGUGUUAUCCUUUACCAAAGAAUUUAUCUAUAAAUAGGAGUCUCAUUUCACCAUUUCAAGCACACAUUCUCUUACACCACUUCUUCCAUCUCU
Humulus lupulus (European hop) is the source of this 720-nucleotide long non-coding RNA. RefSeq lists it as uncharacterized. The transcript has 2 exons. NCBI's taxonomy places the organism in Eukaryota, Viridiplantae, Streptophyta, Magnoliopsida, Rosales, Cannabaceae. The record is from RefSeq and is a predicted model, not a curated record.